Populus nigra (black poplar) is the source of this 2050-nucleotide RNA transcript. It is a transcript of the gene named BES1/BZR1 homolog protein 4-like, with no coding region annotated. The transcript is spliced from 4 exons. The record is from RefSeq and is a predicted model, not a curated record. Lineage: Eukaryota; Viridiplantae; Streptophyta; Magnoliopsida; Malpighiales; Salicaceae.
CAUACUUAGGUGACCGUUCUCCCUUGCGAUUUUCUCAGGUUUUACUUCUUCCCGGGUUCAACCAAACCAAAAAAGACCACCUCCAGUUUCAGUGCUCGUCUCCACCUUCAACCUCUGUACAGAUCUGAUCUGACCGAUUUCAACUCCAAUCGCUCCCAUUUAAACCCAAGUUUCUGUAUUUUUCGAUCCCAAACAACUGUAGCUUUCGCUGAUUUCUGAAAGCUACUGAUCCAGUCACUUUUGUGGUUAUCAUCCUCCAUCGCACUUUCUUUUUAUGAACAAUUAGACUUCUGCCAGAAAACGUUCAGCUUUACUAUUUCUUGUCUAGUUAUCCAAGAAACAACCAUUGAUCACUUCCUACUGAUGCAGCCACUUUGCUAGAGACCAGAGGUAUGACUUCAGGUACGAGACUACCAACAUGGAAAGAAAGAGAGAACAACAAGAGAAGAGAAAGGAGAAGAAGAGCCAUUGCAGCAAAGAUCUUUUCUGGGCUACGAAUGUAUGGCAACUUCAAGCUUCCAAAGCACUGUGACAAUAAUGAAGUCCUUAAAGCCCUCUGCAAUGAGGCUGGUUGGGCCGUCGAGCCCGAUGGCACCACUUACCGCAAGGGAUGCAAACCUGCGGAGCACAUGGACAUUAUUGGUGGUUCUGCUACAGCAAGCCCAUGCUCCUCAUACCUCCCUAGCCCCUGUGCUUCCUAUAACCCAAGUCCUGGAUCCUCUUCCUUUCCCAGUCCAGUUUCAUCCUCCUAUGCUGCUAAUGCCAAUGUGGAUGACAAUUCCCUCCUCCCGUGGCUCAAAAACCUCUCAUCGGCUUCCUCUUCUAAGCUUCCCCAUCUAUACAUCCAUGGUGGCUCCAUAAGUGCCCCUGUUACUCCUCCCUUGAGCUCUCCAACUGCUAGAACCCCCCGAAUAAAAACUGGCUGGGAAGACCAACCAACCCACCCAGGCUGGUGUGGGCAGCACUACUUGCCAUCUUCAACUCCACCAAGCCCUGGCCGUCAAAUUAUUCCUGAUCCAGGAUGGUUUGCUGGGAUUCGAUUGCCACAAGGUGGUCCAACUUCUCCCACAUUCAGCCUGGUUGCCUCCAAUCCGUUUGGCUUCAAGGAAGAGGCUUUAGCUGGUGGUGGGUCCCGCAUGUGGACUCCUGGUCAAAGUGGUACGUGUUCACCUGCCAUUGCAGCUGGCUCUGACCAUACAGCUGAUAUUCCCAUGGCUGAGGUGAUCUCGGACGAGUUUGCAUUCCGAUGCAAUGCAACUGGGCUAGUGAAGCCAUGGGAAGGGGAGAGGAUCCAUGAAGAGUGUGGAUCAGAUGAUCUAGAGCUUACACUUGGGAACUCAAGAACCAGGCAGGUGGACAGGGCUUCAAGGUGAGAAUUGGUUUCAGAACCCUUCCACUUGGUUAGUUCCAUUGAAGAACUCCUACUACGGGUUGCCAGCCUUCAGUUUCUGGUUUGCCAUUGAAAAGUAACGCUCAAAUGGAAGGCAUAUCAUAGAGGGGCCACUUUAUAGGAGAUUAUGAUUGUCGUGGACCAGAUCUCUACCACCUUAUCACCUGAAUUCGAGAUGUUAGGAUGGAAUAUAUCAUAUAUCUUUUGGCCGAAACCUCGAGUGACCUGAUCGUUCAGGGGCCCAUCUGAGAUCUGACCAGGAGUUUCAUUUGUUAAAGACCGUGCAGCAUGCCUCCAUUGUGAGCUAGGCCCCUUCAAUUAACCAUUUCUCUACGUUUGUUUUCAAUCAAGUCUUUUUUUUUAUAUAAACCUGGUCCAUUCUUUGCCAGCCAGGGUACAUUCCUUGUCGCGUUUGUUGUUUGACUUGGGAAUUUACAAAAGUUUUGAUGUCCACCUAAAGCAUGUUCGUGGUGGAAAAUGCUUCUCAGCUUUUGUAUUUGUAGGGGGAGAGGGAGGGAGGGAGAGAGACUCUCACAUACAAUCGUUAAUGCUGUGUUCAUCAGCAAUGAAUUAUAGGGCAGGAAUUGUAAUAGCAAUAUAAAUUAUAGCAGCACAAUGUAUGUGUGCCAAGAUUUUGUGAACUGUACAAUCACUCACAAA